CCAAUAGCGUAUAUUAAAGUUGUUGCAGUUAAAAAGCUCGUAGUUGAAUUUCGAGACCGGUUUAUUGGUCGUGCUUUUGUACGUACUGGUAUUAUUGGUUUCUCCUUUCUGACGAAUCAUAAUGCCAUUAAUUUGGUGUUUUGGGGAAUCAGGACUGUUACUUUGAAAAAAUUAGAGUGUUUAAAGCAGGCUCACGCUUG
RNAcentral lists this ribosomal RNA (200 nucleotides) under uncultured Glomus. RNAcentral describes it as "partial small subunit ribosomal RNA". It matches the Rfam family "Eukaryotic small subunit ribosomal RNA", at positions 591 to 797 of the family's 1831-position model. The record is from RNAcentral. Lineage: Eukaryota; Fungi; Glomeromycota; Glomeromycetes; Glomerales; Glomeraceae.